RNAcentral lists this ribosomal RNA (472 nucleotides) under uncultured organism. RNAcentral describes it as "partial 16S ribosomal RNA". It matches the Rfam family "Bacterial small subunit ribosomal RNA", at positions 333 to 801 of the family's 1533-position model. The record is from RNAcentral.
ACACUCCUGCGGGAGGCAGCAGUGAGGAAUAUUGGACAAUGGGUGGAAGCCUGAUCCAGCCAUCCCGCGUGCAGGAAGACGGCCCUAUGGGUUGUAAACUGCUUUUAUCUGGGGAUAAACCUACUUACGUGUAAGUAGCUGAAGGUACCAGAAGAAUAAGCACCGGCUAACUCCGUGCCAGCAGCCGCGGUAAUACGGAGGGUGCAAGCGUUAUCCGGAUUUAUUGGGUUUAAAGGGUCCGUAGGCGGACUGAUGAGUCAGUGGUGAAAUCCGACAGCUUAACUGUCGAACUGCCAUUGAUACUGUUAGUCUUGAGUAAGGUUGAAGUGGCUGGAAUAAGUAGUGUAGCGGUGAAAUGCAUAGAUAUUACUUAGAACACCAAUUGCGAAGGCAGGUCACUAAGUCUUAACUGACGCUGAUGGACGAAAGCGUGGGGAGCGAACAGGAUUAGAAACCCGAGUAGUCCCAUGAU